RNAcentral lists this transfer RNA (84 nucleotides) under Achromobacter mucicolens. Its description in RNAcentral is "tRNA-Gly". The record is from RNAcentral. Lineage: Bacteria; Pseudomonadati; Pseudomonadota; Betaproteobacteria; Burkholderiales; Alcaligenaceae.
CGCGGUCGUGGCGAUUGCGCUGGCCGUGGCGGUGCUGCCGCCGCUGCUGUGGGGCCAGCCGUGGUUCGAUGCCCUGUACCGCGC